Long non-coding RNA from Lolium rigidum, 3978 nucleotides. RefSeq lists it as uncharacterized. The record is from RefSeq and is a predicted model, not a curated record. The transcript is spliced from 5 exons. NCBI's taxonomy places the organism in Eukaryota, Viridiplantae, Streptophyta, Magnoliopsida, Poales, Poaceae.
UUCGUCUUGCUCGAGCUGAGCCGCCGGGAUACUGCAGGCCUGCAGCCUCCUGUCCGCAGCUGUUUCGUGAGCCAGGGAAGGAUUGGGUUGAGGUGUUCCUUGUUUCUUCUUGGGCAGCUCUUCGUCGAACUGAUCUGAAUUUUUGGUCCUGCUUCAUUCGCAUGUCGUUCGUGAGAUUGAUUCCGUCCGUGUAUUUCUCCGUCCGCCGCUCGUGCCUUCGACGCUCUCGCUCUUCCUGCCGAGGUUUGCCAGCGUUUCCUCUAGAUAUUUUUACGGUUGAUUUUCAUGGUUGUCCCGCAUGGUCUGACUGAGGGUGCUGGUUGCAGUUCAUGUGUUUGUUGAAAUGCCUGUGAGGCGAUGAUCCAGUUGUAGACGCUUAGUCUGCAGACGAUUUUGUGUUUGUGUUCGUUUGCUCGACACAUAAUUUUUAAUGGCCGCGCCCUCUUCUAGCUCGUCACGUUCCUGGAGCGCUGCAGGCCGGCGCGAACGAGUUUCAGCUCGUGUCGCUCUGUUCCAUGGUGCGUGUGUCUUCGGUCGUGUUUACAUUAUUAUUGUUUUAGGGUGCCCUUUUCUUACAGUUGUUCUUAUGGUAGUUGUCGUUGAUCCUCGAUAUAAGCUGUCUCCUGGGGAAAUUGUGGACAGAUCACGGUUUGAUGGUGCGUGCCCGUCCACCUCUGUUACUUUUCGCUUGGACCCAUGUUUGUACCUUGAGCUGACAUUGGUGUGGAUUAGGCCCCGGUUUUUUCCCUGUUGUCUCGCGUGAAUAUGGACCGGCUGAGGUGGCUUAGGUGGACAAAAGCAGGUGUGCACUCGCUGUUUGUAUUUUUAGGCUUGUUGGUCUGUGUGGCGCUCGCCGUUUCUUCCUUCCACUCCAAGGCCGUUGCCCCUUUUCGACAGCAUCCACUUCUAGGAGUCUUUUCAACCUUCAGUACAUGGAGUUCCUGAAAGGUACGAUACCCAUGCGUAUCUUACCAUGGUGCCCCUGAUUAUCGCUGUCAGUUCUGUGGUGAAGCUCGGGAGCUCCGUGAGGCUGCGCCGUGUCCUAUACAGCUUGUGUUGCAAGGGUGGGAAGGUCUGGGCCCCACCCUUCGCUUCACCGCCUCCUUUUCUUGCGGAGCUUCUUAGGUUUGAUGGUGAGCAGCCGAGAUAGUGCCACAUCCGUUGUGCCGCAUGGCCGUGGCCACAACGGUGCGACAUGGUUAGCCCAAUAAGGCGAAGACUGUGAUGCUUCGUCUGCUCAAACCACAACCUCGGGAGCAACCAGGACAACUGAUUUUUGGCAACCGACGGUCGAGAACAAGAGUUUGUGGACCAUCUAUUCUCAUUCCAUUUGGUUCAGAUUUCGUUGUUCUUCCCGUUCUCUCUACUGUUCAGACUUAAUUUUUUGUUUUGUGCUAUCCAGCAGGAAAGCUCAACCAGGGUCCAGGGGAUUACGAAGUUCAUGCCACUGUGGUCCCUUCAGAACACUCGGUGAAAUCAUGUGUGAAACUUUGCUGUUUCUACUAGCUGAUGAAUCCUACAAGCUCUGAGCAAGAGGUUGUCUUUACACAUGCCUCCAUUUUUACUAGCAGUUUGAUAGAUUUACUAAUUGAAUAAUAUUAUUUGAAUAUUUCACAUGAAAAUAUUUUUGGCGUUUGAGGUUAUAAUGUAUUAAUGUUUAAUGGAAUGAAGAUUUAAUUCCCAAAAUAAUUUCACUUAGAUAAUAUUUGCUCAAGAUGCAUGCUAUGAGCACAAAGAUAGUUACUCUUUGCAAGCAAUGCUACUAGAGGUUGAAAGCUAUACAUGCAUGAAUACAGUUUCCUGGAAAGAUGCAAUUUUCUUUCCAUCUUGGAAAUUUGGUAUCUAGGUUGGUUUGGACACUGACCAAACAUGAAACAUAUUCUGUAAGACCCACCUCUGUUUUAGUGAUUAUGAUUUACCAGUGUCUCAAAUAGUUGUGACUUUAUUUUUAAAGCUUUCCCUAUUGUUAAAUCCAUUGAUGGCCAUCCUUAGUUAAAUUUAGGUUAAAUGUAGGGCCUAUGUUUAUUGUCUUGCCCAUGUAGAACAGUGUGUCUGUGUAAGAAUUGAUAGAUGAAAAUUUUCUACUCUUGGAGUAUAUGUAUAUGUCUAGGAUUUAUUGAAUGGAUGUAUUGAUGUAAGGCUCCCCUGUUUUUUAGGUUUCUUCAUGAUUUAUCAGUGUCCCAUGUCCCAAUCAGUAGUGAAUUCAGUUUGUGAUAGCAACAUCUUGGCCGGGUUAGGAUAUAGAAGAGACUUCUUGUUUUGGUUCCUGAUUUUCUCGUUGUUACUUAUGUACUCUGACUAUAAUUUGAGCUGUGGCUUUAUCCUGCCAAGUUUGGUAUUUUGAUCCCAAGUCCCAUAUGUAUUGACUUCUGAUGACUUUGUGCACUGAUAUUUGUCCUCAACUCUCGAUAGAAAUUACACACACGUUUUUAACCGUUUCCUCUUAUUCUGAUUCAUUGGGUUAGUAAGUUGUAUAUAAAAACUUAAAGAAUAGCUAGCUCCCGGUUGCAAUGGCUAAAUAAUAUUCCGAAGAUUUUUGUUUCAGAUUUCGAGAAAGCUUGCUCAUGGUACAGCUGGUAGGACAGGUUCUGCGCCCAGAUCAAACAUCCCAUUCCCAGGUGUGUGAAUUUAUAUUCUUUUAUCUUUUAUCUUCAUCUCUGGCUAUUAUGAGCAAAUUUUGCAAUGCACUGUUUGUAACAUUGGAGAAAACUAUUAACAAUUCUGAUCAAUGGCACAUGGUUUAUCUUGGCAAUUAGUUGAGUUUCUUUCUAAAAUGAAAUAGGCACUAGCGCUACUUCAUGAUCUAUGUUUUGACAGUUCGAUCCCUUAUUUUAGAUAACCGAUAUGGAUUAUUUGAGGAAGUAAACCUUUGAAUCACUCUUCAAAUAAUAUGGAGUACGUACUUUGGAGAAAUGACGUCAUGUAUUUGUUCGUUUCAUAGAAGAUAAAUUUAUCUAAAUAACGAUGUGUCUGGGAAGCCUCUUAUGAAUGGCUGACUGGCUGCAUGGUGUUGUUGGCAACCUACGGUCACAAUAUUUGCAUUAAACCAAGAAUGGAAACACAUUUAUGUAUUUUCAAGAUUCUGUUUGUAGGUAUUGCUGCCCAUUGCAAACUUUGCUAUUUAUAAUCAUACUGCAUGUUAGUUAAUUGCUUCAACUUUUUGUUUUGUUUUGUAAAGAGCUUCUUGUGCUUAAAAUAUCUGUUGCUUUAUCCUUCCAAUUACUGUUAUUCAGAUCUUCAUUUCUGUUUUAUAUUAGUAUUUUUUAGAUUAUUAAAUAAUAGUAGGCACUAAAAAUCAUCUUAGGCCUUAAUCAAACGAAGUCAUAUGUUGGCGCGAGACAUGCAUAUAUACACUACUUUCUCUUUUACAGGGUUUUAGCAUAUAAUGUGCAUACAUACAAUUCUCGUUUGCAUAUAUUGUUUGAUCCAAGUUACCAAUUUAAUAUAUGCAGACCACAAUUUUAGUAAAGGCAUGCAAUGAUAUGGUAGAACCUCACAUUUAUAAGAGAACUUUAAAGCUUAUAAACAUAUAUAUCAUUUUUUCUGGCACUUCACAUCUCAGCUGCACUGAAAGAGUAAGAUAAAGGUGUUUAUUUUCCAAGUUUAUGAUUCUGACUUCUGUGCUUUCACGCUAUAUUUACAGGUUCUUUUUCUUUUUCUUUCGCAGUUAGUGCACUACAUGUGUACCGCUAGGCACUUGACCAUGUUGCCAGAUUCGGAAGUGUAGUUUUACUGUUGCAUUUUAAGAGAAUUGUUUGUUGAAUUUGUUUUUUGAAUCCAGUGCCUCUGUGGUUAAUGUACUAAUUUUGUUCUGUUCUUGAAGGGAUAUUAAUUGGAACAACCUUGUCUUAGGGUGAAAACUUGCGAUUUACCUUUUUUGGGGAAUUUUAAUCCCUAUAGAUGUACUAUGUAAUUGAAUACCUUGUAUCAAACCCAGAAGUGUUUAAGGCCAGAAUCGAAAUGAGUAUUUGUGGCUCA